AGAAAUGACAUCAGAAACUGGAAGAGGAAUUAUCAACGAAUUUCACCCUUCACCCAGUUUCAAUGAGCUCACCUAUGAAUGUAAACUAGAAAUCACAAGUCCCAUGUGAGAAGAAAAGACCUGGGGAGCCAUGUGAGAUUUCCCAGUUUCUUCCUGCUUGGUCUGUGCCUCUUCCUUGUUUGUCUUUGAAAUCACUAGUAAAUCCUGAUACUGAGUAAGAGUUCUAAUUUGUGAAUCUGAUUUGAUGAUAUGAUUAUUUGCAUUAGCUCAGUAAUCAUGAUUGUUUAUUCGAUAGCAGCAGUAAAAUCAUCAAUAUGAGGUUGAUUUUUCAUCAUCAAUAUAUUGAGAUUAAAACAAAUUACCACUGGAGGAGAUGGCAAUGCAUGAUUAUCUUUCUGAGGGAAAUUGUGAACAUUUAAGAGCAAAUAUUUAAUUGCAUGUUAAUGUACAGUAAACACUAGGGAAAAUAUACAGGUUUUUUAAAAUAAGAAAUAGCUUGCAUAUAAUACUUAGAUGAUGACUUAUAUAACAUUUAUGUAAUGUCUUUAUUAGUUUGAAUCCAUGGGUAAUUUUUAAAAAAAUGAUCUGAAACUAUCAUUUUGAUAUGAUAGCUCCAAAUCUGGAUCUGCACUGUAUAUUGUAGAUGUAGAAUUAAUUUUCUGCACAGAAAUAGCAGUGCCUCAUAAUUAUUGCCUGUGUUCCAUUCUCAUUACUAGGUAAGAGUGGGGAUGAAGUGAGGAGACAACAUCCUUAUCAAUGUCUGACUUCUAUACUUUUCAGUCCUUAAGGCUUUGCUUUCAAUCUGCCCUGUGGGGAUCCCCGAGAAAUCUUGGAAGCUGUGUUACUGGCGAUGAUGGGACAAGAGAUUGGACACACCUCGUUAUACCCCCUCGUCACUAACUGACAUUAAGUAUUGCUUCUUAUGGAUUAAACAGAAACGAGCCAUUCUGAAAGACUCCACACCAAUAUCAACAAACUCCCUGAUGCUUUCCCUCCCUGUCUGCAGUUUCAACACAACUAACCAGUACUUCUCUCUUAUAAGACCAUCAACCACUGAGUGGUUCUGGCAAGUCUAUGGAGGAUGCACAGUGAGGUUUUUUUUUGUGUCCUGUUUUUCACCUUUUGACAUCAGAGGGCCAAAAUCUCUACCCUCAAAUCAUGCUAAUGCUGCCAUGGGACCCAUGGAGAGGCAUGAAGCUCAAUUGUACAUAUGCAUGCUUGUCCUUUCAUAAAUAUGCAUUACUCCUCUUAUAGCUUAUGAAUAUGCAUAUUUGGCCACCCCAUUCAGCAUAAAUCCCUGUCUUGUUCUCCCAAUCCUUGAAGUGCCUGUUUAUAGCCUCUAGGCCAGAGACUAUGCUUCCCAGCCUGUCAGAAUGGCCACCCUGCAGACUGCAAGCCAUUAUGAGAAAUAAAGCACUCUUUUUAAAAUUUAUGAACCUUGUCAUUCUUCAGUUGACAGUUUUAAGCUGAUAGAAAGAACUAUUAGUACUACUUUUAUGCUUAACAUUACAAAAUGUUUUUCUUUGUAGGAGGGAAAUCACAGGUAAAAUACAUCUUCAAAGGCAACCUAAAAUAGAAACAGU
RNAcentral lists this long non-coding RNA (1583 nucleotides) under Homo sapiens (human). Its description in RNAcentral is "HSALNT0044388". Lineage: Eukaryota; Metazoa; Chordata; Mammalia; Primates; Hominidae. The record is from RNAcentral.